RNAcentral lists this ribosomal RNA (499 nucleotides) under uncultured bacterium. Its description in RNAcentral is "bacterial SSU rRNA". It matches the Rfam family "Bacterial small subunit ribosomal RNA", at positions 21 to 509 of the family's 1533-position model. The record is from RNAcentral.
GGCUCAGGAUGAACGCUAGCUACAGGCUUAACACAUGCAAGUCCGGGGCAUCAUGGGAGUUGCUUGCAACUUCCGAUGGCGACCGGCGCACGGGUGAGUAACGCGUAUCCAACCUGCCCCUUAGUAGGGAAUAGCCCGGCGAAAGUCGGAUUAAUGCCCUAUGUUCUCCGAAGCAGACAUCUAAUUCGGAGCAAAGGCCUCUGGCCGCUAUGGGAUGGGGAUGCGUCCGAUUAGCUGCCGGCGGGCAACGGCCCACCGGGGCGACGAUCGGUAGGGGUUCUGAGAGGAAGGUCCCCCACACUGGUACUGAGACACGGACCAGACUCCUACGGGAGGCAGCAGUGAGGAAUAUUGGUCAAUGGGCGUGAGCCUGAACCAGCCAAGUAGCGUGCAGGACGACGGCCCUACGGGUUGUAAACUGCUUUUACGCGGGGAUAAAGUGUGCCACGUGUGGCAUAUUGCAGGUACCGCGUGAAUAAGGACCGGCUAAUUCCGUGCC